Molecule: ribosomal RNA, 97 nt
Filed under: uncultured bacterium
Lineage: Bacteria
Description: partial 16S ribosomal RNA
Rfam family: Bacterial small subunit ribosomal RNA
Source: RNAcentral
CACACCGCCCGUCACACCAUGGAAGUUGGCUGCACCAGAAGCCGGUUGUCCAACCGCAAGGAGGACGCCGACCACGGUGUGGUCAAUGACUGGGGUG